GAUGAACGCUGGCGGCGUGCCUAAUACAUGCAAGUCGAGCGAACAGAUGAGGAGCUUGCUCCUCUGACGUUAGCGGCGGACGGGUGAGUAACACGUGGAUAACCUACCUAUAAGACUGGGAUAACUUCGGGAAACCGGAGCUAAUACCGGAUAAUAUAUUGAACCGCAUGGUUCAAUAGUGAAAGACGGUUUUGCUGUCACUUAUAGAUGGAUCCGCGCCGCAUUAGCUAGUUGGUAAGGUAACGGCUUACCAAGGCAACGAUGCGUAGCCGACCUGAGAGGGUGAGCGGCCACACUGGAACUUAGACACGGUCCAGACUCCUACGGGAGGCAGCAGUAGGGAAUCUUCCGCAAUGGGCGAAAGCCUGACAGAGCAACCCCGCGUGAGUGAUGAAGGUCUUCGGAUCGUAAAACUCUUUUAUUGGGGAAGAACAAAUGUGUAAGUAAAUAAACACGUCUUGACGGUACCUAAUCAAAAAGCCACGGCUAACUACGUG
Molecule: ribosomal RNA, 497 nt
Filed under: uncultured bacterium
Lineage: Bacteria
Description: partial 16S ribosomal RNA
Rfam family: Bacterial small subunit ribosomal RNA
Source: RNAcentral